RNAcentral lists this ribosomal RNA (465 nucleotides) under Vreelandella stevensii. RNAcentral describes it as "partial 16S ribosomal RNA". It matches the Rfam family "Bacterial small subunit ribosomal RNA", at positions 338 to 795 of the family's 1533-position model. Lineage: Bacteria; Pseudomonadati; Pseudomonadota; Gammaproteobacteria; Oceanospirillales; Halomonadaceae. The record is from RNAcentral.
CCUACGGGUGGCAGCAGUGGGGAAUAUUGGACAAUGGGGGGAACCCUGAUCCAGCCAUGCCGCGUGUGUGAAGAAGGCCCUCGGGUUGUAAAGCACUUUCAGUGAGGAAGAACGCCUGGUGGUUAAUACCCAUCAGGAAAGACAUCACUCACAGAAGAAGCACCGGCUAACUCCGUGCCAGCAGCCGCGGUAAUACGGAGGGUGCGAGCGUUAAUCGGAAUUACUGGGCGUAAAGCGCGCGUAGGUGGCUUGAUAAGCCGGUUGUGAAAGCCCCGGGCUCAACCUGGGAACGGCAUCCGGAACUGUCAAGCUAGAGUGCAGGAGAGGAAGGUGGAAUUCCCGGUGUAGCGGUGAAAUGCGUAGAGAUCGGGAGGAAUACCAGUGGCGAAGGCGGCCUUCUGGACUGACACUGACACUGAGGUGCGAAAGCGUGGGUAGCAAACAGGAUUAGAUACCCUUGUAGUC